UACGUAGGUGGCAAGCGUUGUCCGGAAUUAUUGGGCGUAAAGCGCGCGCAGGCGGCCUCUUAAGUCUGAUGUGAAAGCCCCCGGCUCAACCGGGGAGGGCCAUUGGAAACUGGGAGGCUUGAGUAUAGGAGAGAAGAGUGGAAUUCCACGUGUAGCGGUGAAAUGCGUAGAGAUGUGGAGGAACACCAGUGGCGAAGGCGACUCUUGGCCUAUAACUGACGCUGAGGCGCGAAAGCGUGGGGAGCAAACAGG
This 252-nucleotide ribosomal RNA is filed under the name uncultured bacterium. RNAcentral describes it as "partial 16S ribosomal RNA". It matches the Rfam family "Bacterial small subunit ribosomal RNA", at positions 524 to 776 of the family's 1533-position model. The record is from RNAcentral.